CGGCCGCGCGGCAAAAUGCGCGAGCCCGGGCGUUCCUGACCAGCAGGCGGGCAGCGAUGCUGGCUGGAGUCCUCCGAAACCCUGGCGAGUGGCGCGGUCCGAGGGUCUAAGUGGUUUUCAGGCCGGAGGGGAGUUCUCCCAUCCCUGGGUACUCCGGAUCCUGGCUGCCAGGAGGCCUUCCUGGACAUUUUUUUCCCAGGUACCCACCUGCUCAACGAUCUUGGUAUUUCGGAGCAGCCUGGGCUCUCUGAAUCUUUCUACUGGCUUUGCCUCUGGAUGAAUGCUCCAAUGCACUGCCAUGUCUCCAACCAAGCACGUCAUUUUUAUUGUCCGUUGAGAUUCAUGUUUAAUACUGGAGCGUGCAAGCAGAGACAUGCACUUUCCCAAUCCUUUCCAAACUUUGAUCCAGGCUGACAAGUUGUUUGUACCCCAAAACAAAUGCCGAAGAUGGUAUUGUAAUUGUGCACAGAGAAACGCUGCACAGAACAUAGAAAAGAGGCCCUCAUCCCAUCCACUGAAGUUCUGAUGAGAACAUAGCAAAGGAUUUCAGUGCUGGUCACUCACCCAACCCAUCG
This 575-nucleotide long non-coding RNA is filed under the name Rattus norvegicus (Norway rat). RNAcentral's name for it is "long non-coding RNA NONRATT023374". The record is from RNAcentral. Lineage: Eukaryota; Metazoa; Chordata; Mammalia; Rodentia; Muridae.